GGCAUUCGGGAGGCAUAUACUACUGAACAGGGGUAGUCGGUAUUUGUCGUCGGUAUUUGUAGGAGAACACCCGAAAGAUGACCGGUUGCUGCCUUGUUUUCUAUUGAACUAUUUUGGGGCAUCACUGCGUGGCUGACUGGUCAAAACUUAAUUUGAAUGGCAUUUCUAAACCACUGAAGGGAUCUGGGUGCCGAAAAGUGGGUUCGAGGAAGAAAUAGCGGAUAUACCUAGUUGUGGUAUCGGAGCUCCGCU
Pelobates cultripes (western spadefoot toad) is the source of this 252-nucleotide non-coding RNA. Lineage: Eukaryota; Metazoa; Chordata; Amphibia; Anura; Pelobatidae. The record is from the annotation of a GenBank genome assembly.